This 1155-nucleotide long non-coding RNA is filed under the name Homo sapiens (human). RNAcentral's name for it is "HSALNT0367379". Lineage: Eukaryota; Metazoa; Chordata; Mammalia; Primates; Hominidae. The record is from RNAcentral.
UCACCUUUACCAACACCAAGGGAGCCAGCCCUGAGAGUUCAUGCCAAGUCAUCUUUCUCCUGCUUUGUUCCCUGGAACUGAUAAACUGCUGCUUCGAAAAACCAGAAGGCCUUGCCUCUAUUUUGUUUUCAGUUCUACUCCCUAAGAGCCUCAGCAUAAAUAUGAGAGGAGAUAAAGGGAAAGUUAAGAAACUUCUGUUAGCAUUCUGAUGUUCAAACCCAAGUCUUGAUCUUCCUGUUGAGGGCCAUCCAAGAGCACCAUGAUGAAGUGGAAAGAGAUUGUUCACAAGAAUGAUCACUUACAGAAGACUGAGCCCAAGGCCCUUGCUGAUGGAUUCCCAGACUUAUAUGCAUCCGAGAUUGAAGAACUUAAACAUCUUGCCCUUGCCAUGACCACAAAUCAGAGAGUAAUAAAAUUUAAUGUCCAUGGACUUUGACCUUCAAAAGACCAAAGACAGGCUGUUUCAAGAACGCGGUCUUGAACAAUUUGUUGACAUCUUCACAAAAGAAAAAUAAUUCUCUAAAUCAGUAACUGAGUCUCCGGAAGGUUUCUUCUUGGAAACCCCCACAUAGUCUCAUGAGCACCUACAAUGACAGAAAGGGAAAUUUAGAGAAUGAAGAGAAAACUUCUAAGAUGUUCGUAGAAUGCUUCAGGGAAGAGGUUUGAUAAUGAGCUGUUCAUGAAAGAUUGAACUCAUGAAACUGGGGAUAAGGAAGACAGUCUCGGAGGGGAAAAUGGCACAAGCAAACGUGUGGAGGAAAUGCAAGUGUGAAGAAUGGGCAUCACCAAUUCUUACAUGAGUGAUCACCUCAGGGUGUGUCAACUUACCUUGGGCUUCUGCAAAACAGUCAAGAAAACUGCUUUUUAUUAUUUUCUGUUUUCUGAAUCAGCAACUCUGUCACAAGCUAGAAGUCCCUGUAUUAUUCUUCAUUCUAUUACUUUUCAUGUAAGACUUGAAAACUCUUGGGAGCCUUGGUCUACUAAUUCAUAUGUCAUGUUUGAGUUACAUUUUAGAAAUAGCAAAUACACUUGAGGCAAACAGGCCCUAGUUUUGUUUUGUUUGUCUUCUCCUCACUGAAAUUAAAUUAAAAUCUAUACCUUUCCUCUGAUGUUAGUAACCUCUUUGUUUUGUUUCUUUAAUAAAGAGAAAAACAC